This 452-nucleotide ribosomal RNA is filed under the name Pseudomonadota bacterium. RNAcentral describes it as "bacterial SSU rRNA". It matches the Rfam family "Bacterial small subunit ribosomal RNA", at positions 1 to 453 of the family's 1533-position model. The record is from RNAcentral. Lineage: Bacteria; Pseudomonadati; Pseudomonadota.
UAAUUGAAGAGUUUGAUCCUGGCUCAGAUUGAACGCUGGCGGCAUGCCUUACACAUGCAAGUCGAGCGGCAGCGCGGGGGCAACCCUGGCGGCGAGCGGCGGACGGGUGAGUAAUGCAUCGGAACGUGUCCUCUUGUGGGGGAUAACCAGUCGAAAGAUUGGCUAAUACCGCAUGAGCUCGCAAGAGGAAAGCGGGGGAUCCGUAAGGACCUCGCGCGAGAGGAGCGGCCGAUGCCCGAUUAGCUAGUUGGUGGGGUAAUAGCCUACCAAGGCGACGAUCGGUAGCUGGUCUGAGAGGACGACCAGCCACACUGGGACUGAGACACGGCCCAGACUCCUACGGGAGGCAGCAGUGGGGAAUUUUGGACAAUGGGGGCAACCCUGAUCCAGCCAUGCCGCGUGUGUGAAGAAGGCCUUCGGGUUGUAAAGCACUUUCGGACGGAACGAAAUCG